GCACCCGCACAAGUAGUGGAGCAUGUGGUUUAAUUCGAAGAUACGCGCAGAACCUUACCAACACUUGGACAUGUUCGUCGCGACUCUAAGAGAUUAGAGUUUUCGGUUCGGCCGGACGAAACACAGGUGCUGCAUGGCUGUCGUCAGCUCGUGUCGUGAGAUGUUGGGUUAAGUCCCGCAACGAGCGCAACCCUCACUUUUAGUUGCCAUCAUUAAGUUGGGCACUCUGAAAGAACUGCCAGUGAUAAGCUGGAGGAAGGUGGGGAUGACGUCAAGUCCUCAUGGCCCUUACGUGUUGGGCUACACACGUGCUACAAUGGUCGGUACAGAAAGCAGCCACUAUCAGAAUAGGAG
RNAcentral lists this ribosomal RNA (354 nucleotides) under uncultured bacterium. RNAcentral describes it as "bacterial SSU rRNA". It matches the Rfam family "Bacterial small subunit ribosomal RNA", at positions 920 to 1267 of the family's 1533-position model. The record is from RNAcentral.